UUGGGCCAUAUUGCAAAAAUCUUUCAAAACUUGGAUGAGUUGAUAUAUUCAUUUAAAUUUAUAUCAAAGUUUUCAAAUUAUCGACAUUAUAUGUCGGUCUUUUCCAAAAUCUCACCCUUUAAGCAAGAUCAAGUCAACCAUAGAACACGUAAAGGGUAAAGAACAAAAUAGGAAAAAUCUCCCAACGUCGACACAUUCUUUAUUCAAAAUUUUCACUUUCCCUAACAUUCUCGAUUUAAGUACGCAAGCGAAAAAUUGCGUUUGCCAUAACUGAAUUAUUAUUGAAUAAUCCAUCAUUCUUUAGAAUUUUUAUCAUUAUGUAUUUUCUGAAAUUUAAAAAUAAUUCCCGAGUAGAAAUGAAUGAAUAGGAUUUUUCAAAAAAUUUCUCGAAAAACUCUUGUUUUUGUCUUGGAAAUUCAUACACUUUAUUUCUAGCACGUAGCCAGAAUCCUAACCACAUCCAUUCAUUCAAGGUCAUAGAACGACCUUUAACUUGCUUACUCAGUAUAAUAAACAUAUAAUCUCAUUUUAUUCAAUAUAAUUAAAUAAAAUUUAUUUACAUUAAAGUUUUAUUUUCUCGGUCGUUACAUUAUUCCACUCUUAUAAGGAUUAUGUCCUCAAAAUCUUGAUACAAGUUAAUCAAAUAGAUGGGGAUAAUUCUUCUUCAUUUUCUCUUCGAGUUCCCACGUUGCUUCUUCGGCAUGGUUCCUCCAUACUACCUUCACUGAAGGUAUUACUUUACUUCUCAAGACUUGUUCUUUCCUAUAAAUAAUUUGAAUCGAGAUUUCUUAAUAUGUUAAGUCUUCUCAACCUAAAUAGGUUCAUAUUCUAUUACGUACUUAUUAUAUGGCUUAUAAGGGCGUAAUAUAGAAACAUGUAACACAUUGUGUAUAUGUUCUAACUCCGGAUGUAAUGUUAUCACAUAAGAUACCUCUGCUACUCUCUUCAAUAUCUCAAAAGGUCCUAUAAACCUCGGACUUAACUUUCCCUUCUUUCUAAAACAUACCUUUUCUUUCCAUGGAAUUACCUUCAGAAAUGCAUACUAAUCGACUUCAAACUCUCUCUUCUUUCGAUGUGGAUCUACAUACUUUUUCUGUCUAUCUUGAGCUGCCACAAGUCAUGUUCUUAUCAACUUAACUACAUCUGCUAUUUGCUGCACCAUUUCAGGUCCUAACAUCCGACAUUCACCUACCUUAUCCCAAUACAGUGG
RNAcentral lists this long non-coding RNA (1210 nucleotides) under Panax ginseng (ginseng). RNAcentral's name for it is "long non-coding RNA (PGIN_LNC000484)". Lineage: Eukaryota; Viridiplantae; Streptophyta; Magnoliopsida; Apiales; Araliaceae. The record is from RNAcentral.